CCAACUCAUCGUCCUCCACCUCCACGCAGAACGCUGCAUUCUCGCCCUCGAGGACCUCCAUCUUCCGAGGAAGUUUACGAACAAUAGUACCUGCCUCUCACACAGAUACACGCCGUCAUCAUCUGUCCCGAUGUCAUGGAUGGUACCAGGCGGCAGGGAGCGACUCGUCGGGCAUCUCGCACUCCAGCACGGCAACGUCCCGCUCCCUCACCUCCACGUCUUUUAAUGAACGCCUGAAGCGAACAGCGUGGCCUGGAGAACAAGGGAAAACGUGACAGGAUGGAGGCUUAACAGAUUUAACACAAGCAGAGGGACCAGUCGUGACUUAUGGAAGAAAUGCUCAUACUGAAGGAGAAGGAUGUCAGACCUUGACACAAACACCCCGGUUAGCAGACGAGUGAGAAGACUGGGGCUGAUUGAGUCACAUGUCAG
This is a non-coding RNA of Paralichthys olivaceus (Japanese flounder), 432 nucleotides long. NCBI's taxonomy places the organism in Eukaryota, Metazoa, Chordata, Actinopteri, Pleuronectiformes, Paralichthyidae. The record is from RefSeq and is a predicted model, not a curated record.